RNAcentral lists this ribosomal RNA (433 nucleotides) under uncultured bacterium. Its description in RNAcentral is "partial 16S ribosomal RNA". It matches the Rfam family "Bacterial small subunit ribosomal RNA", at positions 29 to 507 of the family's 1533-position model. The record is from RNAcentral.
GCGCACGCUGGCGGCAGGCCUAACCCCUGCACGUCGCACGAACCUUUCGGGGUUAGUGGCGGACGGGUGAGUAACACGUGGGAACGUGCCUUUAGGUUCGGAAUAACUCAGGGAAACUUGUGCUAAUACCGAAUGUGCCCUUCGGGGGAAAGAUUAAUCGCCUUUAGAGCGGCCCGCGUCUGAUUAGCUAGUUGGUUGAGGUAAUGGCUCACCAAGGCGACGAUCAGUAGCUGGUCUGAGAGGAUGAUCAGCCACAUUGGGACUGAGACACGGCCCAAACUCCUACGGGAGGCAGCAGUGGGGAAUCUUGCGCAAUGGGCGAAAGCCUGACGCAGCCAUGCCGCGUGAAUGAUGAAGGUCUUAGGAUUGUAAAAUUCUUUCACCGGGGACGAUAAUGACGGUACCCGGAGAAGAAGCCCCGGCUAACUUCGUG